This 477-nucleotide ribosomal RNA is filed under the name uncultured bacterium. Its description in RNAcentral is "partial 16S ribosomal RNA". It matches the Rfam family "Bacterial small subunit ribosomal RNA", at positions 28 to 507 of the family's 1533-position model. The record is from RNAcentral.
GAUGAACGCUGGCGGCGUGCCUAAUACAUGCAAGUCGAGCGAACGGACGAGAAGCUUGCUUCUCUGAUGUUAGCGGCGGACGGGUGAGUAACACGUGGAUAACCUACCUAUAAGACUGGGAUAACUUCGGGAAACCGGAGCUAAUACCGGAUAAUAUUUUGAACCGCAUGGUUCAAAAGUGAAAGACGGUCUUGCUGUCACUUAUAGAUGGAUCCGCGCUGCAUUAGCUAGUUGGUAGGGUAACGGCGUACCAAGGCAACGAUGCAUAGCCGGCCUGAGAGGGUGACCGGCGACAUUGGGACGGAGAGACGGCCCAGACGCCUACGGGAGGCAUCAGGGGGGAAUAUGGCACAAUGGGCGGAAGCCUGAUGCAGCAACGCCGCGUGCGGGAGGACGGCCUUCGGGUUGUAAACCGCUUUCGCCGGUGAAGAAGCGUGAGUGAAGGUAAUGGGUAAAGAAGCACCGGCUAACUACGUG